This 254-nucleotide ribosomal RNA is filed under the name uncultured Acinetobacter sp. RNAcentral describes it as "partial 16S ribosomal RNA". It matches the Rfam family "Bacterial small subunit ribosomal RNA", at positions 524 to 776 of the family's 1533-position model. Lineage: Bacteria; Pseudomonadati; Pseudomonadota; Gammaproteobacteria; Moraxellales; Moraxellaceae. The record is from RNAcentral.
UACAGAGGGUGCGAGCGUUAAUCGGAUUUACUGGGCGUAAAGCGUACGUAGGCGGCUUUUUAAGUCGGAUGUGAAAUCCCUGAGCUUAACUUAGGAAUUGCAUUCGAUACUGGGAAGCUAGAGUAUGGGAGAGGAUGGUAGAAUUCCAGGUGUAGCGGUGAAAUGCGUAGAGAUCUGGAGGAAUACCGAUGGCGAAGGCGGCCCCCCUGGAUUGACACUGACGCUGAGGUGCGAAAGCGUGGGUAGCAAACAGG